GCUGGGUGUGGUGGUGCACACCUGUGGUCCCAGCUACUCAGGAAGCUGAGGUGGGAGGAUCGCUUGAGCCCAGGACGUCAAGGCUGCAGUGAGCCAAGAUCUUGCCACUCCACUCCAGCCUGGGUGACAAAGUGAAGUCUCAUCUCUA
Pongo abelii (Sumatran orangutan) is the source of this 148-nucleotide unclassified non-coding RNA. It matches the Rfam family "Metazoan signal recognition particle RNA". Rfam says of the family: The signal recognition particle (SRP) is a universally conserved ribonucleoprotein. It is involved in the co-translational targeting of proteins to membranes. NCBI's taxonomy places the organism in Eukaryota, Metazoa, Chordata, Mammalia, Primates, Hominidae. The record is from Ensembl.